RNAcentral lists this ribosomal RNA (496 nucleotides) under uncultured bacterium. RNAcentral describes it as "partial 16S ribosomal RNA". It matches the Rfam family "Bacterial small subunit ribosomal RNA", at positions 28 to 507 of the family's 1533-position model. The record is from RNAcentral.
GAUGAACGCUGGCGGCGUGCCUAAUACAUGCAAGUCGAGCGAACAGACGAGGAGCUUGCUCCUCUGACGUUAGCGGCGGACGGGUGAGUAACACGUGGAUAACCUACCUAUAAGACUGGGAUAACUUCGGGAAACCGGAGCUAAUACCGGAUAAUAUAUUGAACCGCAUGGUUCAAUAGUGAAAGACGGUUUUGCUGUCACUUAUAGAUGGAUCCGCGCCGCAUUAGCUAGUUGGUAAGGUAACGGCUUACCAAGGCAACGAUUCGUAGCCGACCUGAGAGGGUGAUCGGCCACACUGGAACUGAGACACGGUCCAGACCCCUACGGGAGGCAGCAGUAGGGAAUCUUCCGCAAUGGGCGAAAGCCUGACGGAGCAACGCCGCGUGAGUGAUGAAGGUCUUCGGAUCGUAAAACUCUGUUAUUAGGGAAGAACAAAUGUGUAAGUAACUAUGCACGUCUGACGGUACCUAAUCAGAAAGCCACGGCUAACUACGUG